AUUGAACGCUGGCGGCAUGCUUUACACAUGCAAGUCGAACGGGCUGGGGGCAACUCCAGUCAGUGGCGAACGGGUGAGUAAUACAUCGGAACGUACCUCGUAGUGGGGGAUAACUCGGCGAAAGCCGUGCUAAUACCGCAUAUGCUCUACGGAGGAAAGCAGGGGACCGCAAGGCCUUGUGCUAUGGGAGCGGCCGAUGUCCGAUUAGCUAGUUGGUGAGGUAAUGGCUCACCAAGGCGACGAUCGGUAGCUGGUCUGAGAGGAUGAUCAGCCACACUGGGACUGAGACACGGCCCAGACUCCUACGGGAGGCAGCAGUGGGGAAUUUUGGACAAUGGGGGCAACCCUGAUCCAGCCAUGCCGCGUGCGGGAAGAAGGCCU
Molecule: ribosomal RNA, 381 nt
Filed under: uncultured bacterium
Lineage: Bacteria
Description: bacterial SSU rRNA
Rfam family: Bacterial small subunit ribosomal RNA
Source: RNAcentral